Molecule: long non-coding RNA, 1362 nt
Organism: Brassica rapa (field mustard)
Lineage: Eukaryota; Viridiplantae; Streptophyta; Magnoliopsida; Brassicales; Brassicaceae
Source: RefSeq, a predicted model, not a curated record
CAAAAAAAAUUCUUCUAUAUAUAUUUCUUAAAAAAUAUUGGUUAAGUUUAGACAAUUUCGUAAAGUAAAUUUACUAAAUAUUUAUAUAUCUGGAUCAUGCUGAAUCUUAUAUAUACUGAAUAUCUAAGUUAAAUCAUAUUUUUGAGAUUUUAUGACAUCAAAAAGUUUUCACAUUUUGUCUAUUUCUUAAUUGAUAUCAACUAAAUUUUAUAGGUUUUAUAGAUUACAAAAUAAUUUCCACAUAAUGUAACAAAGGCAAUCAAUAAUCUCUAUAUAUAUAAAGAGGUCCGUACAACUCAAAAACCAUUCAUGUGCUAGUUCUUCAAGGUGAAGCUAGUUUGUACUCGUGUUGAUUUUUCUGGUUCCUUGCUUCAAAGUUUUUUCACAAUUCUAUUUCGUUAGUUCCAUUUUUACCAGGAAUAGUUUACAGUGUACUAGGAACCUUUUGCAUGAAAUUUUCUUGUAGAGAUCGAUGAAAUCGCAUGAUCUCUCAAAUUUGACAGUAUUGUUUCUUUUAGCCAUAAACUGACAAAAUGCGUAAUUGAUUAGUUUCUAGUGUACUAAGAAAUCUACAUUAAAUUUUCUUGUACAGAUCGAUGAAGUUAGAUGAUCUCUCAAAUUUGACAAUGUUGUUUCUUCUUGCGUUAUUAAUUGUUAAAAAUGACAAUACGGCCUCGUACAUAAUUAGAUUUCUUAAAAUAAAUUUAUCAGCGAGAAGUUGAUUAUGGUCAUGUCUCGUUCGCUAUAAGGACGUUUCUUCGAUGUCUCUGAUUCUAGUAAUGUUGAAUUAAGAUUCUUGAUAUAAAUUGUUUUUUUAAAGACAGUAUAAUACAUUAGAGUUUUUUUUAAGUAAUAAUUAAUAAUUUGCUUUAAUGCAAAAGAAAGAAGCAAAAGUUAACUCUCGUUGUUUGGAAAAUGAAGCUUCGAGCCUUCGACCAACUUCAAAGUUCAAACCAUGGCUGGAGAAGGAAGUAAACAAAACGCAACUAGAGAUGAUGCCUAUGCAUAUCUUAGGACUGUGAAGAAUCAAUUUCAGAACGAUCGUGAAAAAUAUAACGAUUUUCUUGCGAUUAUGAAUAAUUUUAAUGCUGGAAGAAUUGAUAGGAAUGGUUGCAUAGAAGAGGUGAAGGAGUUAUUUAAAGGACACCGAGACUUGAUUUCGGGUUUCAAUGUGUUUUUGCCAGUGUCUUUAGAGAUCGCUGAUUGGUACAACUUAGAGGGUCGCUGAUGUGUAGCGUCCAUCUAAUAAUUUUAGGAUCUAAACCGAGUUCGGGUUAGAUUCGUAUUCUAAGGCGAAUCUGUUUUUGAUUUGUUAUAUUACUCCAUUUAGCUAUUCAGCCUUAUAAAUAUAGGUUCUAAGAG